GAAGGAAGGAGGGAGGGAGGAAGGAAGGAAAGGAGUAAGGAGGGAGGGAGGGAGGAAAAGAGGAAGGAAGAAGCAACGAAGGAUGGAAGGAAGUGAGGAAAGAAGUAUGGAAGGAGGAGGGAGCAAAGAAAGAGGGAAGGAGGGGAAGAA
Scomber japonicus (chub mackerel) is the source of this 150-nucleotide long non-coding RNA. RefSeq lists it as uncharacterized. The record is from RefSeq and is a predicted model, not a curated record. The transcript has 3 exons. Lineage: Eukaryota; Metazoa; Chordata; Actinopteri; Scombriformes; Scombridae.